RNAcentral lists this ribosomal RNA (1391 nucleotides) under Escherichia coli. RNAcentral's name for it is "partial 23S ribosomal RNA". It matches the Rfam family "Bacterial large subunit ribosomal RNA", at positions 1473 to 2839 of the family's 2925-position model. Lineage: Bacteria; Pseudomonadati; Pseudomonadota; Gammaproteobacteria; Enterobacterales; Enterobacteriaceae. The record is from RNAcentral.
CGGAGAAGGCUAUGUUGGCCGGGCGACGGUUGUCCCGGUUUAAGCGUGUAGGCUGGUUUUCCAGGCAAAUCCGGAAAAUCAAGGCUGAGGCGUGAUGACGAGGCACUACGGUGCUGAAGCAACAAAUGCCCUGCUUCCAGGAAAAGCCUCUAAGCAUCAGGUAACAUCAAAUCGUACCCCAAACCGACACAGGUGGUCAGGUAGAGAAUACCAAGGCGCUUGAGAGAACUCGGGUGAAGGAACUAGGCAAAAUGGUGCCGUAACUUCGGGAGAAGGCACGCUGAUAUGUAGGUGAAGUCCCUCGCGGAUGGAGCUGAAAUCAGUCGAAGAUACCAGCUGGCUGCAACUGUUUAUUAAAAACACAGCACUGUGCAAACACGAAAGUGGACGUAUACGGUGUGACGCCUGCCCGGUGCCGGAAGGUUAAUUGAUGGGGUCAGCGCAAGCGAAGCUCUUGAUCGAAGCCCCGGUAAACGGCGGCCGUAACUAUAACGGUCCUAAGGUAGCGAAAUUCCUUGUCGGGUAAGUUCCGACCUGCACGAAUGGCGUAAUGAUGGCCAGGCUGUCUCCACCCGAGACUCAGUGAAAUUGAACUCGCUGUGAAGAUGCAGUGUACCCGCGGCAAGACGGAAAGACCCCGUGAACCUUUACUAUAGCUUGACACUGAACAUUGAGCCUUGAUGUGUAGGAUAGGUGGGAGGCUUUGAAGUGUGGACGCCAGUCUGCAUGGAGCCGACCUUGAAAUACCACCCUUUAAUGUUUGAUGUUCUAACGUGGACCCGUAAUCCGGGUUGCGGACAGUGUCUGGUGGGUAGUUUGACUGGGGCGGUCUCCUCCUAAAGAGUAACGGAGGAGCACGAAGGUUGGCUAAUCCUGGUCGGACAUCAGGAGGUUAGUGCAAUGGCAUAAGCCAGCUUGACUGCGAGCGUGACGGCGCGAGCAGGUGCGAAAGCAGGUCAUAGUGAUCCGGUGGUUCUGAAUGGAAGGGCCAUCGCUCAACGGAUAAAAGGUACUCCGGGGAUAACAGGCUGAUACCGCCCAAGAGUUCAUAUCGACGGCGGUGUUUGGCACCUCGAUGUCGGCUCAUCACAUCCUGGGGCUGAAGUAGGUCCCAAGGGUAUGGCUGUUCGCCAUUUAAAGUGGUACGCGAGCUGGGUUUAGAACGUCGUGAGACAGUUCGGUCCCUAUCUGCCGUGGGCGCUGGAGAACUGAGGGGGGCUGCUCCUAGUACGAGAGGACCGGAGUGGACGCAUCACUGGUGUUCGGGUUGUCAUGCCAAUGGCACUGCCCGGUAGCUAAAUGCGGAAGAGAUAAGUGCUGAAAGCAUCUAAGCACGAAACUUGCCCCGAGAUGAGUUCUCCCUGACUCCUUGAGAGUCCUGAAGGAACGUU